AACAGCCCAGACCCACAGCUAAGGUCCCAAAUGUAUGCUAAGUGGAAAACGAUGUGGAGUUGCGAAAACAACCAGGAUGUUGGCUUAGAAGCAGCCACUCAUUAAAAGAGUGCGUAAUAGCUCACUGGUCGAGUGACUCUGCGCGGAAAAUGUAACGGGGCUAAGCAUCUAACCGAAGCUUAGGAUUGUCGUAAGACAGUGGUAGGGGAGCGUUCCAUGUGGGGUGAAGUCGCAGCGGAAGCAGCGGUGGACUGCAUGGAAGUGAGAAUGCCGGAAUGAGUAGCGAGAAUUAUGUGGGAAUCAUAAUGGCCGAAAAUCUAAGGUUUCUUGGGGAAGGUUCGUCCGCCCAAGGUAAGCCGGGAGCUAAGGCGAGGCCGAAAGGCGUAGUCGAUGCACAUACGGUAGAAAUUCCGUAGCCACCGAACUUUAAGUCAGAGGGACACUUUUGGAUAGCGGAACCCGGGCGUUGGUUGACCCGGGCGAAAGGGAGCGAAAAUAUAGUAGCGAAGUCCGCGAUGCUGAGAGGCGAGAAAAGCUCUGAUGGAUACUAAGGUGCCCGUACCGCAAACCGACACAGGUAGAUGAGGAGAGAAUCCUAAGGCCAACGGGAGAAGGGUUGUUAAGGAACUCGGCAAGUUGACCCCGUAACUUCGGAAUAAGGGGAGCCUCGCAAGAGGCCGCAGUGAAAAGGCCCAAGCAACUGUUUACCAAAAACACAGGUCUAUGCUAAAUCGAAAGAUGACGUAUAUGGGCUGACGCCUGCCCGGUGCCGGAAGGUUAAGAGGAGAUGUCAGCGCAAGCGAAGCAUUGAAUUGAAGCCCCGGUAAACGGCGGCCGUAACUAUAACGGUCCUAAGGUAGCGAAAUUCCUUGUCAGGUAAGUUCUGACCCGCACGAAAGGCGUAAUGAUUUGGGCACUGUCUCAACAGCCCGCCCGGCGAAAUUGUAGUACUGGUGAAGAUACCAGUUACCCGCAACUAGACGGAAAGACCCCAUGGAGCUUUACUGCAGCUUAAUACUGGAAUUCGGUAACCCAUGUACAGGAUAGGUGGGAGGCUUGGAAGCAGGGGCGUCAGCUCUUGUGGAGCCGCCGGUGGGAUACCACUCUUGGAUUGCUGAAUUUCUAACCUGCGGCCGUGAAUCCGGUCGGGGGACACUGUUAGGCGGGCAGUUUGACUGGGGCGGUCGCCUCCUAAAGAGUAACGGAGGCGCUCAAAGGUUGGCUCAGCACGGACGGAAAUCGUGCAGUGAGUGUAAACGUAGAAGCCAGCCUAACUGCGAGACCGACGGGUCGAGCAGUAACGAAAGUUGGAGUUAGUGAUCCGGUGGUAUGUGAGUGGAAAUGCCAUCGCUCAACGGAUAAAAGCUACCCUGGGGAUAACAGGCUGAUCUCCCCCAAGCGUCCACAGCGACGGGGAGGUUUGGCACCUCGAUGUCGGCUCGUCACAUCCUGGGGCUGAAUUCGGUCCCAAGGGUUCGGCUGUUCGCCGAUUAAAGUGGCACGCGAGCUGGGUUCAGAACGUCGUGAGACAGUUCGGUCCCUAUCUGUUGCGGGCGGAAGAGAUUUGAAGGGAGCUGUCCUUAGUACGAGAGGACCGGGAUGGACGUACCUCUGGUGCACCAGUUGUCCUGCCAAGGGCAUAGCUGGGUAGCUAUGUACGGACGAGAUAAACGCUGAAAGCAUCUAAGCGUGAAACUCCCCCUAAGAUGAGAUCUCUCACCUCGAAAGAGGGUAAGGGCCCAGGAAGACUACCUGGU
Molecule: ribosomal RNA, 1757 nt
Filed under: human gut metagenome
Description: bacterial LSU rRNA
Rfam family: Bacterial large subunit ribosomal RNA
Source: RNAcentral